This 469-nucleotide ribosomal RNA is filed under the name uncultured bacterium. Its description in RNAcentral is "partial 16S ribosomal RNA". It matches the Rfam family "Bacterial small subunit ribosomal RNA", at positions 28 to 508 of the family's 1533-position model. The record is from RNAcentral.
GACGAACGCUGGCGGCGUGCUUAACACAUGCAAGUCGAACGGAAAGGCCCUGCUUUUGUGGGGUGCUCGAGUGGCGAACGGGUGAGUAACACGUGAGUAACCUGCCCUUGACUUUGGGAUAACUUCAGGAAACUGGGGCUAAUACCGGAUAGGAGCUCCUGCUGCAUGGUGGGGGUUGGAAAGUUUCGGCGGUUGGGGAUGGACUCGCGGCUUAUCAGCUUGUUGGUGGGGUAGUGGCUUACCAAGGCUUUGACGGGUAGCCGGCCUGAGAGGGUGACCGGCCCACUUGGGGAAUGAGAUCGGGCCCGGCCCCCGCGGGGGGGCGGCAGGGGGGAUUAUUGAACACGGGGCGGAAGCUGAAUCCCGCACCGCCCGGGGCGGGAGCGCGGCUUUCGGUUGUUAAACCGUUUCCGCCUGUGACGAACCGUGGGGAAGGGUAAGGGGUAAAAAAACCCCGACAAACUACGGC